RNAcentral lists this small RNA (88 nucleotides) under Vibrio cholerae O1 biovar El Tor str. N16961. The record is from RNAcentral. Lineage: Bacteria; Pseudomonadati; Pseudomonadota; Gammaproteobacteria; Vibrionales; Vibrionaceae.
GAUUAAGUUUGCCAAGAAAAAUGACAUCUUGUUCAAGCUCAUACUCUUUGAUCAAUUGCUGCAAUUGCGCGUAAUAAGCAGAAUCCAU